UAUAAAUCUGUGUUUCGUGUUAAUCUGUAUUUAGUUUUUAUCUGUACUUAUCUGAUUUAUAAAUAUUUUUAUUUGAUCUUAAGGUUUGGAGUUCAACCUGCAUCAACGACAGAGGAGCUAAUGACGUUUGAAAGGGAACUGGAUGAUUCGAAAUUCUAUGCUGAAGUGGAAUCCAAAAAAGAUGGAUUAUAUGGAGUGUUCAGUAUGGAUCAAGCUAACCUGAGUGAAACCUGAUAGAAGACAUAUUAAUAAAUAUCCAGGAAACCAGAAUGCAAGCAAGCUAGUCAUGAGCAGCAAUAAUCUUCCCCGUCAUCUCGAUAUUCAUGAUUACAAGCACGCCCUUACCGGAGAAUAUAACUACACAGUGCACAGUUCAUGAUAAAUUCAUAAUUACAAUAAUAGUAGUGACUAGGACAGUGAAAGAACUUAAAAGAUGG
This is a long non-coding RNA of Eurytemora carolleeae, 437 nucleotides long. RefSeq lists it as uncharacterized. Lineage: Eukaryota; Metazoa; Arthropoda; Copepoda; Calanoida; Temoridae. The transcript is spliced from 3 exons. The record is from RefSeq and is a predicted model, not a curated record.